This 3798-nucleotide long non-coding RNA is filed under the name Mus pahari (shrew mouse). RNAcentral describes it as "predicted gene 15475 (MGP_PahariEiJ_G0002955.1)". Lineage: Eukaryota; Metazoa; Chordata; Mammalia; Rodentia; Muridae. The record is from RNAcentral.
ACUACCUCCUCGGCCAGGGCACGGAGAUGCAGAAGCCAGUCCUCAGCCUGUUCCAGGGCGGCGGGGAGUUCACUGUGGCCAAGCUUCAAGGCCAGAGCGGCUUCUUUGAUCUGGCUCAGGUGACGGGUGCGGAGCCGGAGCAGGUACUGAUCAAGGCUCCAGCACCUCUGGGCUCAGCACCGGCCAGACUGCUGGCCAAGCGUGGCUGGGAGACGUGCUUCUGCUCACCACCACACACGAACGCUCCUGAGGAGACAGCCUUGGCUGAGCCAGGAGAGGCAUCGGAAGGUGCCAAGGACCCCCUACCUGCAGUCUGCAAGGAGCUCAUCUGUCAACUGAGCCACCAGGGCGUCCACAUCCUCAGAGGAGCACUGUGCCUUCAGAGCCAAGUGGACCUGCUCCAGGGCAAGGUCCUGGGCUGGAAGGCCAACCUCAAAAUACCUACCAGCCCAAAGCCGUCUCAGUCUCCUGAGUAGCCCUCUCCAUAGUCAGGGCAUGUGGUGUGUGUCCCACCCUGGGGGACUAAGCCUAGGGAGAAAACUCAGUCCCUGCUGUCGGGGAACUGUGGUCUUCUGGUAGAGUAAUGAGGAGCCCAGAGAGCAGCAGGACAGUGACUGUGUAGUCUCAACUCCAAGUUCCCCCGCUGGUGUUAGCUGCCCACCACCAGCAGCUGCCAAUGUCAGGGACACGCCCCUUCCUUGCCUUUCUGCCUCCCUUCCUACUGUGCUCAUCCCUAGGUCUCUCCAGCCCUUCCUCCCCUGUGCUGCCCCUCAUCCCCACCAUGUAGCCACACUCACUUUCCCCACUUGGGUGAUGCUCCCUGGAAGGGAGCCUGGAGCCACUGCCUGACCCAGCCAGCGGCUUCCCAGCAUCCUUCACCCCUCCCUUGGCCUUCACAUCCGUGCCCUCUCGAGAUUCUCCUGCACGCCCUGAGGAAACAGAAGGCAGCCUCAAAGGGCAGAGGGUUUCCCAGAAGCCCCUCCUCACCCCCACACGGAAUAUCCCUCACAUCCGAACGCUCCGCCCCUCUCCCCAGGUUCCCAGCUUUGGACCCCAAGACAAAUGUACCAAGGCCUGGCAGCCUGAGUUCCACCAGCUCCCAAGAAAGCCAUUGGCCUCCCAGGACCGUCUCACCCUCCCCUGAGUCCUUGCCAUGAUAUGCUAGAUACGGUCCUCGGUCCUCAUCUCUCACUUCCUCCCAUUGUCCCUAUGGCAUCCUCUUGACGCUCCUUAGUUGGUCUUUCCACCAUACUCCUCACCUCUCCCUCAGCAGCCAUGAAGGCCACCUGCAUCUAAGUCUGGAGUCAUAGCUUCUGGCUUCUAGCUGCUGGCUGGAAGUUUCUGGCACAACUAGAGAACACCAGGCGUAUCCUGACAGUUCCGUUAUCUCUCAACCCUCCAUCUUUCCGUCAUCUCCAACAUCCACCUCGGGCAUCCCCAGCGCCCAUCUCUACACGUCGGCAUGCUGCACAUCCUUCUGGCAGGGCUAGAGACCAGGCACCGUGUCUGGACAGGCUUCCACUCACCAGCCGGUCGGCGAUCCUGAGGAGUUGGUUUUGGGUCUCAAUUCGAUGGCUGAUGUCUUCCCAGUAUGAGGACAGCACCACCACGGGCUUCACGUUGCCCCAAGGUUCAUGAUAGUUGCUAGGAACUGCCAGAGGAUAUCCAGCGAACAGUCGCAUGUAGCUGCUGGUCAUGGCCUGUCAUGCUCCAGUGUCACUGGAAAUAAGUAUGUGUAUUCUCUUAUAACUCUCGGGAUGUGGCUUGGACAUCCUGGAUUUAAUGUGUCCCGGGAUAAUUCUUCAUCCGUUGUGGCCCGGAGAAUCCAGGUGGAACAGCUCUGGAAGGCUCACAGAGAGGAAUGUGAAGCGCGAAUAAGCCGCAUCUAUGGUGGUCUGGAGGUAAAAGCACGGAUGGAGAACUGAAGCCAGAGACCUAAAGAGGGCAAGGUCCUGAGCUGGCCUUCAGAUGUCUGCAGCCAGGUCUCGGCCCCCAAGGCUAGCGGCAAGGGUCGGUGUGGCAGAGAGUUCCUCAUGAAGAUUUCCUUAUCUACAGGAACUGAGCCGGGCCCUGGCAUAGGAGAGUUCUCAGCUGGAAGAGUGACAUAGGCAGGCACAGCUGUGGUCCCGAGUCUACUUUAAGCUCCUCCCAAAUGAUGGUUUAGCAGGAGGAGCCUGUUAUCUUGGACUAAAUGAAAGCAGAGACAGAGAUGGGACCCCUGUGUCCUUGCCAGGGACUGGCUUUUAACCUGGUAGUCAGUCAGAGAGAGUUAUCUACCAGUCCCACUAGCAAGCUAGCCACCUGCUGGCGGUGGCUGGAACUGCACAGGCCUCCUUGUUAGUUUGUAGAUUCACACUCAUUUAGGAGCCAUAAGCAGACAUCACCGUGGGCAUUGACUCGACCCUGCUGACAUCUUAGGCCAGUGCUUCCCAACUUGAGAACAGGUCACAAGUCCCCGAUGUUGAGGUUCACCCCAGGUUCUCGCCCCUGUGUCUGCAGACAGCUCAUAAAGUCAAGGGCAGGGAGAGCAAAGAAGCCACCAACACAAAGUCGCUAUUUAGUCCUGGUCGUCUUUCUGCCAAAACACACGUGUUUCGCUGUGUUUUCCCUGAGCCUGGAGAGUUGGGUCCAAGGAAACCCCAAGUCCCCAAUGAACACGCCUAGCUUUUUACUGUGAGAGUGAAGCCCGCCCGGUUCCCUCACCUGGAAGAACUAACUGGAAGGGACAGAACAGGCUGCCAGCCGCAAGUCACAGCUCAGCAGGCGGUCCCUGGGGACACGCGUGCACCCUAGAGAAGCCAAGCCAUUGCCUUCAGCCAGCCUUGCCAGCUCCCAAGGCUCGGCAGAGCCCCAAGCCCACGGCUCUGGCUGCCUGACACCCUCCUGGGCCAGGCAAGAGGGAAACGGGGAGAGUGCUGGGAAAUUCACUGUCAUCCAAAAUCCAAAGACAACUUUGGUUCUCCCGGUGCCGUUCUGUAGCACACUGUCCAUAUGGGUGCCAGCGUCAAAGAUGCCUGCAAGUAUCACAGGUCCCAUGAGCUUACCGCCUUUCAAAAGAACGGCCACACCUAAGAGGGCACACUCCUUAAAAAAAAAUAAUAAUAAUAACAAAGUCUUCCCUUAAUACAUUGGUGCACAGGGUCCAAAGAAUACUUCAGUGUGCCCAGGCAAACUGCGGGCAGAAGUGCUUAAGAGGUUAGUGUUAGGUUUUGUCCUUACUGGGGACAAAAACAAGAUCACAAAAACAAAACUCCAGGCUGAACCAAAUCAUCAGGGAGCUCAAGGCAGAAAGAAGUGGUUUUGAUUGGUUGGUUUGCUGUUGUUGUUGUUGUUGUUGUUGUUGUUGUUGUUGAUGUUGUCGUCAUCGUUAUUUUGAGAUACAGUCUCAAUGAGUUAGCCCCGUGGGUCUUUUACUCACUAUAUAACCAGGAGGACCUCACACUUCUGAUCCCUUUGCCUCUACCAUGCAAGUGCUGGGCUACCAGACGCAUACUACUACACUCUGUUUGUAUGGUGCUGGAAGUGGAACCCAGGGCUUCUGCGCGCUGGGCAAGCACUCCACCAACAUACAGUACAGUUUGUGUUGUGUUUUGGGAGAAACAAGAAAACAAGGUAGUGUACCUUCCCAGACUAGGGAAAGAAACGUAGCCAGAGGCAAAGGAAGUGACAACCUUCAGACCAGACAGCUGCGUCCACCUGAGAAAGGGACCCAUCUCUACAGGAGGGGACCUCAGAGAACCCAGGAAGUCCCAAAGAAUAACCAAAUUUGAUCAAUAAAUUUAGCUCUGUUGUCAUAUU